Molecule: ribosomal RNA, 301 nt
Filed under: uncultured bacterium
Lineage: Bacteria
Description: partial 16S ribosomal RNA
Rfam family: Bacterial small subunit ribosomal RNA
Source: RNAcentral
CAGCAGCCACGGUAAUACAGAGGGUGCAAGCGUUAAUCGGAAUUACUGGGCGUAAAGCGCGCGUAGGUGGUUUGUUAAGUUGGAUGUGAAAGCCCCGGGCUCAACCUGGGAACUGCAUCCAAAACUGGCAAGCUAGAGUACGGUAGAGGGUGGUGGAAUUUCCUGUGUAGCGGUGAAAUGCGUAGAUAUAGGAAGGAACACCAGUGGCGAAGGCGACCACCUGGACUGAUACUGACACUGAGGUGCGAAAGCGUGGGGAGCAAACAGGAUUAGAUACCCCCGUAGUCCCUGUCUCUUAUAA